UUAAUAUAUUGGUCACCGAUGAAUGAAAAAACAAAAACAGAGAAAUUAGUUGAUAACUUCAGACAAGAAAACCGAAAUCGUACGAAACAUGA
Molecule: long non-coding RNA, 92 nt
Organism: Ipomoea nil (Japanese morning glory)
Lineage: Eukaryota; Viridiplantae; Streptophyta; Magnoliopsida; Solanales; Convolvulaceae
Exons: 3
Source: RefSeq, a predicted model, not a curated record